GACGAAGCUUCCCAUCACGGUUUGUAACAUGAGAUCUUGAAAGCAGGCAGUCAAAGGCUGGUCGAUUAGGCCUUCAAACUGCAAUUUUCAAAUCUCAAAUUGGAGAUUGGAAAUCAGAUAAAUAUAACUUUUAUGGUCGUAUUUUGGGGCAAAAAGAAAAAAAAUGAUAGAUUUAAAGAGACAAAGAGAUGAAUAAUUAUGGUAGUCAUUGAACAAUAGCAAUUACGAGUAUUCUUCUGUAUGGUUUGUGUGUGUUUCGAACCUGGGUUUUGGAUUCCUUAUGGUUGUGUGGGUGAGAGAUAAUCCAACUAAAAAAAAUUAAAAAAGAGAGAAGAGGAAAUUAUUAGGUUUGUCUGGGUGACGAAGGGUAAAAUCGUCAAUAUCAAGAGAUAGAAGUACUUAAUUCUAUAAGCACAUGCAUUUUGUGCCUGUAUCGACAACGACAUAGAAUUUUAAGUGCUUUAUUCGUAAUUGAUCCCAUUUUUUUAGUGUUUAUGUAGAUGAGUAUUUUUACUUUUGGUGAUUUGCAAGAAUAGCCAUAUUUAAUAAAUGAAUUAAGAAUAUAGCAGCAUAAUUGUAACAAUUAAUAAACUAGCAUGAGAGACAAUGGAAAAGACAAUUUUAGUGUUUAGCUGUAUAAAAAAUAUAAAUG
This is an RNA transcript of Arabidopsis thaliana (thale cress), 652 nucleotides long. RefSeq lists it as uncharacterized. The transcript has a single exon. Lineage: Eukaryota; Viridiplantae; Streptophyta; Magnoliopsida; Brassicales; Brassicaceae. The record is from RefSeq.